Molecule: ribosomal RNA, 703 nt
Filed under: Streptomyces sp.
Lineage: Bacteria; Bacillati; Actinomycetota; Actinomycetes; Kitasatosporales; Streptomycetaceae
Description: bacterial SSU rRNA
Rfam family: Bacterial small subunit ribosomal RNA
Source: RNAcentral
CCAUGCAGUCGAACGAUGAAGCCCUUCGGGGUGGAUUAGUGGCGAACGGGUGAGUAACACGUGGGCAAUCUGCCCUUCACUCUGGGACAAGCCCUGGAAACGGGGUCUAAUACCGGAUAACACUUUCCUCUGCAUGGGGGAAGGUUGAAAGCUCCGGCGGUGAAGGAUGAGCCCGCGGCCUAUCAGCUUGUUGGUGGGGUGAUGGCCCACCAAGGCGACGACGGGUAGCCGGCCUGAGAGGGCGACCGGCCACACUGGGACUGAGACACGGCCCAGACUCCUACGGGAGGCAGCAGUGGGGAAUAUUGCACAAUGGGCGAAAGCCUGAUGCAGCGACGCCGCGUGAGGGAUGACGGCCUUCGGGUUGUAAACCUCUUUCAGCAGGGAAGAAGCGAAAGUGACGGUACCUGCAGAAGAAGCGCCGGCUAACUACGUGCCAGCAGCCGCGGUAAUACGUAGGGCGCAAGCGUUGUCCGGAAUUAUUGGGCGUAAAGAGCUCGUAGGCGGCUUGUCGCGUCGGAUGUGAAAGCCCGGGGCUUAACCCCGGGUCUGCAUUCGAUACGGGCAGGCUAGAGUGUGGUAGGGGAGAUCGGAAUUCCUGGUGUAGCGGUGAAAUGCGCAGAUAUCAGGAGGAACACCGGUGGCGAAGGCGGAUCUCUGGGCCAUUACUGACGCUGAGGAGCGAAAGCGUGGGGAGCGAACA